ACCGCUCCUGAUCCAUCUCCACCUGGAGCAAGUUAUCCAAAUCCUGAGUCAGUAUAUGAGCAAUAUGUACUUUAUUUGGUUCACAGAGAUAAUUCCAAUUUGGAAAAUUUUAUUAAAUUUCAGAUACUUCUUAGCAUAAGGAGAAUAAGUUCACCAAAGCAGUAACAUAAGAGCCAGGACAAUCAAUCAUGUCAAAAAGUUGACCUUAAAGUAUUUUUCUUGGGGUGGAGGGGCAAUGUGUUUUACAUGGCAUUUGCCUUACAAUAACUCUUUAUGCAUCAUUUUCCUCUAUUCCACCUAAUGCAGAUGUCUAAAGCCACAAAAUUAUACCUGCAUACCACCCGAUCUGAACCCAAACCCAAUUUUAAAAUAUCUUUUUACUACCUGUCCCAAACCCAUUUAUCAUUACCCGCAUACCACGUAAACCCA
This 429-nucleotide unclassified non-coding RNA is filed under the name Hevea brasiliensis (rubber tree). The record is from RNAcentral. Lineage: Eukaryota; Viridiplantae; Streptophyta; Magnoliopsida; Malpighiales; Euphorbiaceae.